Molecule: RNA transcript, 5822 nt
Organism: Parus major (Great Tit)
Lineage: Eukaryota; Metazoa; Chordata; Aves; Passeriformes; Paridae
Gene: PSPC1
Gene name: paraspeckle component 1
Exons: 12
Source: RefSeq, a predicted model, not a curated record
GGCACGACUCGCCGGGGUUGGCGGCGGCGCCAUUUUGAACUGGCUGAGGGUCGGAGGCGGCGGCUGCCGAGCAGGGUUCCGCGUCCCCGGAGGGAGAACCCGCGAGGAAGGAGCGGAUAUGGCCGCGAAUAGGAACUUGAAGCAAGUGCGGAUCGAAAACAGCUCCCCAGCGGCGCCGCUGGGAAUGGUGGGGGGUGGCGGCGGCGGCAACCUGAAAGGAUUGCGCGGCCUAGAAGCGGAGAGUGAGGCGGCGGCGGCCAUGGCUCUGGCACCGAGCAAAGAAGGUGGCGGAGAUGAGGAGCAGGAGGUUGGGUUCACCAUCGAUAUCAAGAGCUUUCUCAAACCUGGCGAGAAGAGCUACACGCAGCGUUGCCGGCUGUUCGUGGGGAAUCUGCCUACUGAUAUCACCGAGGAGGAUUUCAAGCGCCUUUUCGAGCGCUACGGGGAGCCCAGCGAGGUCUUCAUCAAUCGGGACCGUGGCUUCGGCUUCAUCCGCCUGGAAUCUAGGACCCUGGCUGAAAUAGCAAAGGCAGAACUUGAUGGUACUAUUUUGAAGAGCAGACCACUUCGAAUUCGAUUUGCUACCCAUGGAGCUGCCUUAACUGUGAAGAAUUUGUCACCUGUGGUUUCCAAUGAGCUCCUGGAACAAGCAUUCUCACAAUUCGGGCCAGUGGAAAGAGCAGUUGUUGUAGUGGAUGAUCGUGGCAGAGCUACAGGGAAGGGUUUUGUAGAGUUUGCAGCAAAACCUCCAGCACGGAAAGCUCUAGAAAGAUGCAGUGAUGGGGCAUUCUUGCUUACAACAACACCUCGACCUGUUGUUGUAGAACCAAUGGAGCAAUUUGAUGAUGAGGAUGGACUCCCUGAGAAGCUAAUGCAAAAAACACAACAGUACCACAAGGAAAGAGAACAGCCUCCACGCUUUGCUCAGCCUGGAACAUUUGAGUUUGAGUAUGCUUCGCGGUGGAAGGCUCUUGAUGAGAUGGAAAAGCAGCAGCGUGAACAGGUUGACAGGAAUAUUAGAGAAGCCAAAGAGAAACUUGAGGCAGAAAUGGAAGCAGCUAGACAUGAGCAUCAGCUAAUGCUGAUGAGGCAAGAUCUCAUGCGUCGUCAAGAAGAAUUGAGGCGCUUGGAAGAACUUCGAAAUCAAGAACUUCAAAAACGCAAGCAGAUACAAUUGAGACAUGAAGAAGAACACAGACGUCGUGAAGAAGAGAUGCUACGCCAGAGGGAACAGGAAGAGUUACGACGACAGCAGGAGGGAGGAUUUAAGCCAAAUUUCAUGGAUAAUAGAGAACAGGAAAUGAGAAUGGGUGAUAUGGGUCCUCGUGGAGCAAUAAACAUGGGAGAUGCGUUUAGCCCAGCACCUGCUGGUAACCAAGGCCCUCCUCCAAUGAUGGGUAUGAAUAUGAACAACAGAGGAACUUUACCUGGCCCUGCAAUGGGUCCUGGUCCUUCCAUGGGACCAGAAGGAGCUGCAAAUAUGGGAACACCAAUGAUGCCAGAUAAUGGAACAGUGCACACUCUUACGGCUUCAGAGAUUUUAGCCCCACAAAGAUAAUCAGUUCUGCUGUCAUUAUUUUGGAAGAGGAGGUUAGGACACUGGCCUAACUUGGCACCUGCUGCAAAAAUGACAGGUAAGCCUGAACAAAUGCAAACAUGAACACUGCUCCAUGGAUCAUCUCGGGUUCCCUUUGGAAACCCCAAAUAAGUGGCCACAAGGGAUUGUGUGUUUUCCUGAGAACAGCUCGGCAUUGGAGUUCUUCUUUCUGUGUGCUGGAUAGUGGUUCUGCUACUCCCAAAAUCAUACCUGUGUCUGCUGGUGCAAAAUGCUGUAUGGUCACUUCAGUGGAAGUCAAAAUUUACCUGUGCUGCUCUUGUAUGUUGCUAGGUAAUUUUUAAAGUAGACCUAAAAUAAAGGGGGAAUGGGGGAAGCUCUUUGUUACAUUAGCCACCAAAAAUCCUAUUAAUUAAAAAAUGAAAACCAGAAAACUCAACCAAACCACAAAACCUGUUCUGUCAGUCAAACUGGUGAAGCUGCCACACAUCUGUGUGCAAGGUAAAUGUGAAGUGUUCUUCAGUGUUGUAGUGUUCCUGCUGUUCCUGAGAACUGAGAGCUGUUCCUGCUCUGAAUUAGCACUGGCAGCCUGGAGCCUGUCCCACACAGCCAGUCUCUGCAGGGAGGUAUCCUGCUACGCUGAGUAUGCAUUAACUUGAGAUAGGUGCACGUAGGAGCUGGUUUUCAAUUUUCCUUCAUAAUGAUCCAGUAUGCACAGUAUCACUCAGUUUGUGUCUGAUGGCCUCUCUUCUCUCCACAACAGGCAUGUUAAUCAUAUUGUUAGCCUUUUAGACUAUUUCAGAUUAAUUUUGCUUGACACCAUACCCACUUUAAUUUAAAGAAGAACUUCAUAAUAUGAAUCAAAAUUCAGUCUUUUACUUUGAAAACAACUUUCUGUUGUGUUCCAGCUCACUCUUAGACAUCACUUUUUUCAUCACUGGCUGCUUGGAUACAUUCAACUCUAACAAAUUAAUUACUGCUAAUCAUAAACAGUAGAGUUUAUAUAGGUUUAUGUAGGGUAGAGAGGUUGAACUGAUCUUCCAAGAGAGAGAAUUGUGAAUAAAUAGUGCAGGGGCACAUUGCUAGUAAAAACCAUUCACAUUUUAAUACUCUAGCAGUCUUUACUGGGUGGUUUUAGAGCCUGUCAUGAGAAAUAUACUGUAUUUAUUUGGCUCCAGCUUUGUCACUAGAAUCUACUGAUUUCCAAGAACAUGGCUCACUGCUUUCUCUUAGUAAAUCUGGGUGACCAAGAAAGAGAAAGUAAUAUACAUGGUCAGUUACAGAAACUGCACAGACAAUGUUAGGCCUUGAUGCUUUAGCUUUAUUCAAGGGAGCAUAGGGGAAAGGGAGAAACUAAUUAUUGUUUUUUUUGUAUUAAAAUACAGACUGAAAGAUGUGAAAUUUGUAAUAUUAGCCUUCCUGUUAAAUGGGUACAUACAUAUCAAUAGCUACAUUAUAGCAACUUCACCAUGUUGAGGUCAUGUCUUGGGACAAAAACGCUUGUCCAGGUGAUGGUUCCAGCCAGCUCCCUAUGACUGAAAGUUCAUCACUACAGCUGUUACUGCAUUUGACUUUCUAAAUGAUUGUAGUAUCAACACAUGCCAAGUUGUAUCUCUAGUUAGAAAGGGUUAGUAGGCUGUGCUCUGUCAUAUGUGCUUUAGGAAGAAAGUAUCUAUCUUGCUACAGAAUAGAUAACUGAACUUUUGAAAUCUGAUAGCAAGCUUCACCAUGGGUGGGACUGAAGAUAAAAAGGAACCAAAUGGGAGAAUUGAUUUAAUAGAACUCAUACAUUAAAUUGUGCUAACUUUAAAACCAUAUUUUUUCUGACUGCAAGUCUCAGCCUGUUUUAAAACUGUGUCUGAUAAGGUAAAUGUUACCUUUAUUGUGUUUGUGGUUGUGUGUUGUAAUUUACAUGUAUGUCACCUCUUGAGUUGCUUUUUGGGACUGUUCCUAAAGUGAAGCUAGCCUGAAAGGUGCAACCUGUGUCUGGCUUUCCAAAGGAAUUCUUUCUGUAAUAAAUACUCUGCAGGGUAUGCUAAGUUUUGUGAUCAUCAAAUAGAACCUCAAGAUGUUGGAAAAUUGUUUUAACAAGUCUUUACUUGAGAGUAUGGGGAGUUCUUCACCCCUUUGUGCUAUUGUAAUCAGGACCUUUCCAGGCAGUCUUAUCUGUAGACAUUUCAUUAGGGCUCUCAAGCUCUCCAACUUGUUUCUGUGCCUGAGUAAGGGAUUAUGCUAAGCCUGUCAAAUAUUGCAGUGCUCACAUCUUGUAAGUCGGAGGCAUUUAUGGAGAAGAGGUAAUUUUAAUUCUGGGAGGAAGGAAUGUGUCUACAAGUGAGAGCUAUUUUGAAGCCUGAAUGGCUGGGGCAUGGAGCUGUUGAAUUUUAAACACUUCAGAUACUUUCCUUGCAUGUGUACUCUAUAAGAAGACACACACUGCAAGAUGGAUACCCUUAUUAGGUCUUCUAUUUAGUCAUUUUUAAUAGAAUGACAGUAAUUCAUUAAUAAUUAGUAAAUAUAGUAGGAAAAAAUAUUGACUAGCUGUUCUUCCAACUGCAAAUACAAGCAGAUCUAUUGCAGAAGUUGUAAAAUUAUCCAAGUCCUUAACUUUUGCAUCAAUUUCUAAUGCUUGUAGUAUUAAAACUGUAUUUUAAUGAUACUUGUAUGUUGUGAGAUGUUACUGUAAAGUGGAACAUUUUACUCCAGCUCAAUUUAGUUGUAUUAUUUUGAUAGAUAAUUUUGCCCCUGAUUAAUAACAUCAGUGCAACAACAUGCUGCAGAAAGAGAAGGAGACGGCAUGAGAGCUGUUAGUUCUCAAGUGUCACUAAUCACUUGGUGUUGUGUGCAGGGAUUCUGAUCAUUUUAGUGGCACUAAUAUUAAAAGGAUGAAAUGCCACUUUCACCACGUGCCUUGGCAAGCCUAAAAGACAACAUGUGGAAUGUCUUCUGUCACAUGGAAUACAUAUGUUUUAGAAAACCUCCAAAGAGGAAUGACUUGGCUCUUUGGAGCAGAACUGCAAUUAAUCUACUCCAAGAAAAAUAUUAAAAUCUAGGAACUUCUUAAUGUUCUUGGAACAGUUGUUGUUUAACUGCUGAGGUAGUAAAAAUUUAAAUAAAAUCUGUGGAGAAACAACUAAAUGGUAAGUUUGGGUAGAGAAUAAAUGGAUUUUUUUCUGGUAAUGGGAAGUUUUAUUAUGGUUUGUUACUUCAUAUAUAAUGGGUUUUUGAAAAAAGCAGCUUUUACUGUGUUUUCUCUUUUGCUUGAAAUGCCAGUUAUUUACUGUCUCUUUAUUUUUUAGGUUACUAUUAAAAUCUUAAAAUGCAGAUGAAGACUGGCUUGUGCAGAAUCCUUUUGCUAUCUUAUGCAGACAAAAGGGAAUCCUAAACCAGAUUUUAGUACAAGGUUUCAAUGAAAGCCACCGGUGGCUGCCCACCCUCAGAACUGAAGAUGGCUGUUACAUUGUGAUGUAUAAAAUGCUGCUCUGCACCUCUGGAGUUACAAGGACCAUCCGGACAGGCCAGGCCUGUGAGACCUGAAGGAAAAAGACUGUUUGAAAUAAUGGAAAGGGACCCAGCCUGGAGGUGGUGUGUUCCCCAGCAAUACCUCAGUUUGGAAAAGACAUGAGAAGAAUGUGAAUAGAUCUGCCUGAGAGCUCCAAGACCUCUUCCUACAUGAGGAGACAAGUUAUAGCUUUUGUGAUGUUACUGUCUUCAGCCUCUGGCACAGGUGGUGCCAGUCCAGCAUUUCACAGUAAAGCUGAUGUUGGCUUACUUUGAUGUGUAACUGGAGGUACUGACGCCCUUUUCAUCUAGACUGCACUCGAAGUAGAUUUUCUUUCUAGAAACAGUAGUGUUAAGGGGAAUGGGUGUCAGUAAAAGGAUUAAAGUUUGUACAUUCUACAAGAAUAAUAAAGAGUAAAUGAUAUAUUAAUUUACUGCUUCUUGGUUUAAAUGACUGCUGUUGGACUUUAAAAAAGUAAGAAAAUAUUUUCAAGCUCUACAAUAUAUGAUAACAGGGAAGUGGUAGGGUUUAAAGAAGAAGCAGUAAUGUGGAUUGUGUUUAUGUUACAGUAGUUUAGAAGAACACAGAAGUAUUAAUUACCUAGAGAAAAAUGUUAUGAGCCAGUGACAGCUGAAAAGAACUGGAAGGAAAUGUUAAUCAUAGGGCAGAUUACAGCUGCAGUAAGUUGUCUGUACUGUUGAGUAGGAAUUUAUGCUACAAAUGCCUGCUGUCUUAAUGUAGGCCAAUAAAAAGAUGAAAUACCAUGAA